AAGAAAUUUGUUGAGCAAAGAAGAAAGAUUCCAAAAGAACCUGAUAUUGAAAGAUGUCUGAAAGAAGGCAUAAGUGGAAAGGUUCCAGAAGAACCUGAUACUGAAAAAUGUCUGAAAGAAGGCAUAGAUAAAAAGGUUCAAGAUGAACCAAAUAAAGAUGAUCCCGAUGACGAAAAGGGAACAGAAAAGUAUGAGAUUUCCAUCAACUAC
This 210-nucleotide long non-coding RNA is filed under the name Brassica rapa (field mustard). RNAcentral describes it as "long non-coding RNA (BRAP_LNC007515)". The record is from RNAcentral. Lineage: Eukaryota; Viridiplantae; Streptophyta; Magnoliopsida; Brassicales; Brassicaceae.